CCUACGGGAGGCAGCAGUGAGGAAUAUUGGUCAAUGGACGCAAGUCUGAACCAGCCAUGCCGCGUGCAGGAAGACGGCUCUAUGAGUUGUAAACUGCUUUUGUACGAGGGUAAACGCAGAUACGCGUAUCUUUCUGAAAGUAUCGUACGAUUAAGGAUCGGCUAACUCCGUGCCAGCACCCGCGGUAAGACGGAGGAUUCAAGGGUUAUCCGGAUUUAUUGGGUUGAAAGGGUGCGUAGGCGGUCGGAUAAGUUAGAGGUGAAAUCCCGAGGCUCAACUUCGGAAUUGCCUUUGAUACUGGUAGGCUAGAGAGUAGUUGCGGUAGGCGGAAUGUAUGGUGUAGCGGUGAAAUGCUUAGAGAUCAUACAGAACACCGAGUGCGAAGGCAGCUUACCAAGCUACUUCUGACGUUGAGGCACGAAAGCGUGGGGAGCAAACAGGAUUAGAUACCCGUGUAGUC
This 460-nucleotide ribosomal RNA is filed under the name uncultured bacterium. Its description in RNAcentral is "partial 16S ribosomal RNA". It matches the Rfam family "Bacterial small subunit ribosomal RNA", at positions 338 to 795 of the family's 1533-position model. The record is from RNAcentral.